Molecule: ribosomal RNA, 418 nt
Filed under: uncultured bacterium
Lineage: Bacteria
Description: partial 16S ribosomal RNA
Rfam family: Bacterial small subunit ribosomal RNA
Source: RNAcentral
AAUAUUGGACAAUGGGGGCAACCCUGAUCCAGCCAUGCCGCGUGUGUGAAGAAGGUCUUCGGAUUGUAAAGCACUUUAAGUUGGGAGGAAGGGCUUUAGGUUAAUACCCUGAAGUUUUGACGUUACCAACAGAAUAAGCACCGGCUAACUCUGUGCCAGCAGCCGCGGUAAUACAGAGGGUACAAGCGUUAAUCGGAAUUACUGGGUGUAAAGGGCGUGUAGGUUGAUGAGUAAGAUGGGUGUGAAAGCCUGGGGCUAAACGGGAAAACUGCUUUUAAAACUGGUGGGAUAGAGUAAGGAAGAGGGGGGUAGAAUAUCCUGUGUAGCGGUGAAAUGCGUAGAUAGGAAAGAGAACACCAGUGGAGAAGGCGAAUACCUAGUCAUAUACUGACUGAGGUGCGAAAGCGUGGGGGGCAAA